AGAGUUUGAUCAUGGCUCAGAACGAACGCUGGCGGCGUGCCUAAGACAUGCAAGUCGUACGGAAAGGCCCCCUUCGGGGGGCACUCGAGUGGCGCACGGGUGAGUAACGCGUGGGUAAUCUGCCUUAGGGUCUAGGACAACCCCGGGAAACUGGGGCUAAUACUGGAUAAGACCACGAGCUCUUCGGAGCUUGCGGAAAAAGAUGGCCUCUCCUUGGAAGCUAUCGCCCUUCGAUGAGCCCGCGUCCCAUUAGCUAGUUGGUGAGGUGACGGCUCACCAAGGCUUUGAUGGGUAGCUGGUCUGAGAGGAUGAUCAGCCACACUGGAACUGAGACACGGUCCAGACUCCUACGGGAGGCAGCAGUCGGGAAUUUUGGGCAAUGGGCGAAAGCCUGACCCAGCAACGCCGCGUGAGGGAUGAAGGCCUUCGGGUCGUAAACCUCUGUCGGGAGGGAAGAACGGUUCACGUUCAAACAGGACGGGAGCCUGACGGUACCUCCAAAGGAAGCACCGGCUAACUCCGUGCCAGCAGCCGCGGUAAUACGGAGGGUGCAAGCGUUGUUCGGAAUCAUUGGGCGUAAAGCGCGUGUAGGCGGCUUGGCAAGUCAGUUGUGAAAGCCCGGGGCCCAACCCCGGAACUGCAUCUGAAACUGCUUGGCUAGAGUCCCGGAGAGGAAGGCAGAAUUCCCGGUGUAGGGGUGAAAUCCGUAGAUAUCGGGAGGAAUACCAGCGGCGAAGGCGGCCUUCUGGACGGUGACUGACGCUGAGACGCGAAAGCGUGGGGAGCAAACAGGAUUAGAUACCCUAGUAGUCC
RNAcentral lists this ribosomal RNA (813 nucleotides) under uncultured bacterium. RNAcentral's name for it is "bacterial SSU rRNA". It matches the Rfam family "Bacterial small subunit ribosomal RNA", at positions 8 to 796 of the family's 1533-position model. The record is from RNAcentral.